GACGAACGCUGGCGGCGUGCUUAACACAUGCAAGUCGAACGGAAAGGCCCUGCUUUUGUGGGGUGCUCGAGUGGCGAACGGGUGAGUAACACGUGAGUAACCUGCCCUUGUCUUUGGGGUAACUUCAGGAAACUGGGGCUAAUACCGCAUAGGAGCUCCUGCUGCAUGGUGGGGGUUGGAAAGUUUCGGCGGUUGGGGAUGGACUCGCGGCUUAUCAGCUUGUUGGUGGGGUAGUGGCUUACCAAGGGUUUGACGGGUAGCCUGCCUGAGAGGGUGAACGGGGACCUGGGGCCUGAGAUACGGAGCAGAAUGCUAUGGGACGCAGUAGGGGGGAACAUUGCGGAAUGGGCGGAAGCGAGAGGCGGAAGUGCCGCGUGCGGGAUGAUGGCCUUCGGGUGAAAAACAGCUUUCGACGGAGACGAAGCGUGAGUGACGGUAAUGGGUAAAAAAGCACCGGCUAACUACGUG
Molecule: ribosomal RNA, 468 nt
Filed under: uncultured bacterium
Lineage: Bacteria
Description: partial 16S ribosomal RNA
Rfam family: Bacterial small subunit ribosomal RNA
Source: RNAcentral